CUCCCAUCUCAGGAUCCACUAGAGGUGUCCUUCAGGAGUUCCGCAGGUUGCCUUGGUUUCCUAGAGGAGCUGUCCUGCAAGACUCCUCAGAGGCACAUCCCCAAAGAGAGAGCUUUCUAAUUCUGUAGUAGUAAUGAAAGAAAACAAAAGAAUCCCAGAGCUGCUGGAGCUACAAACUGCAGCGUGACGGUGUGAGUUACCAUGUUGUGUCUUGUGGCUGCCUCUCGCUGUGCCCUGUCCUGUGGCCCACGUGCUGAGGGACAGAGAAGCAAUGUCUAAGAGUCAUUCAGAGUGACACGUGGGCAGAUGAGAUCUAAACAAACCGAAUGGAUGUAGGAAGCCAGUUGUAUCCAACAGCACUGCCAGGAGCUCAGCCUCGCGACUCUCUUUUGGGACUAUAGAACGCUUGCUAAGAAGUGCAUUUUUCACCACGAGUGUGUACAGCAUCUGCAGCCUGCUCCUUUUCCUGCUUCUCCACCUGUACCACAGGCUCUGCUGGAACAGAACGGUCAGGAUGUGGCUCAGAUCUACAUGGACUGUCCUUGAGACCUCUGUGGUGACACCUCGUAUGUGCACGCCAUCCAUCCAUACUGAGAGCACACCCAGAAGCUCAGACACUGCGGCCCAACCCAUGUCCUCCUGUCUGGGCAGGAGGGGCUGCACUCCUCUGUGCUGGUCGGGUUGGUGUACACUGGUAUUGGCAUCCCAACAGAGAUGCCCCUGUCCUCUGUGGCAAACAGGAUACUGUGUGCUUGUAGAAACCCAGAGUGUU
This is a long non-coding RNA of Gallus gallus (chicken), 772 nucleotides long. The record is from Ensembl. Lineage: Eukaryota; Metazoa; Chordata; Aves; Galliformes; Phasianidae.